This 216-nucleotide long non-coding RNA is filed under the name Vigna radiata. Its description in RNAcentral is "long non-coding RNA (VRAD_LNC014412)". Lineage: Eukaryota; Viridiplantae; Streptophyta; Magnoliopsida; Fabales; Fabaceae. The record is from RNAcentral.
GGGUAUGAAACCGCAACAGGUGUUUAAACUUAUCUGCAUACUCUGAGACUGUCAUAUUACCCUGAACCAGUUGCAAGAACUCAACCUCUUUGGCGAAUCGCACACUGUUAGGAAAGUAUUCCUCAUAGAACUUGGUUUUGAAAGUGUCCCAAGUGAUUGGAACAUUAGUACUCUCCAAUAAUGAUCUAGCACUNCUCCACCAAUGACUAGCAUCGC